RNAcentral lists this ribosomal RNA (38 nucleotides) under Lodderomyces parapsilosis. RNAcentral describes it as "Candida parapsilosis partial 28S ribosomal RNA". The record is from RNAcentral. Lineage: Eukaryota; Fungi; Ascomycota; Pichiomycetes; Serinales; Debaryomycetaceae. RNAcentral also lists the same sequence under 2 other names.
UCGACCUCAAAUCAGGUAGGACUACCCGCUGAACUUAA